This 1024-nucleotide ribosomal RNA is filed under the name Longileptoneta sp. 4 HZ-2020. RNAcentral describes it as "SSU rRNA". It matches the Rfam family "Eukaryotic small subunit ribosomal RNA", at positions 79 to 1104 of the family's 1831-position model. Lineage: Eukaryota; Metazoa; Arthropoda; Arachnida; Araneae; Leptonetidae. The record is from RNAcentral.
AGGUGAAACCGCGAAUGGCUCAUUAAAUCAGUUAUGAUUCACUAGACUGUACACAAUUACUUGGAUAACUGUGGUAAUUCUAGAGCUAAUACAUGCAGCAGAGCUCCGACCUUAGGGGACGAGCGCUUUUAUUAGAAAAGACCAAUCGGACUCGGUUCGUGUUUAUGGUGACUCUGGAUAACUUUGGGCUGAUCGCACGGGCUCGUCCCGGCGACGCAUCUUUCAAGUGUCUGCCUUAUCAACUGUCGACGGUUGGUCAAAUGUCCACCGUGGUGGUUACGGGUGACGGGGAAUCAGGGUUCGAUUCCGGAGAUGAAGCAUUAAAUUUGGCUUCAGUUACUAAGGUGAACAGCAGGCGCGCAAAUUGCCCAAUCAUUGAUUAUGGAGGCAGUGACGAAAAAUAACAAUACGGGACUCUUUUGAGACCCCGUAAUUGGAAUGAGUACACACUAAAUCCUUUAACGAGGAUCAAUUGGAGAGCAAGCCUAGUGCCAGCAGUCGCGGUAACACUAGUUCCAAUAGCGUAUAUUAGAAUUGUUGCGGUUAAAAAGCUCGUAGUUGGAUCUCAGUUCCAGACGUGGCCGCCGCCUAACGGUGGUUAUCGCCCGUUCUGAACAGCCAGUCGGUUUCCCGCCAUGAUCUUCACCGGUUGUCGUGGGUGACCGGCACGUUUACUUUGAAAAAAUUAGAGUGCUCAAAGCAGGCGUGACGCCUGAAUAGUUGUGCAUGGAAUAAUGGAAUAGGACCUCGGUUCUAUUGUGUUGGUUUUCUGAACUCGAGGUAAUGAUUAAGAGGGACAGACGGGGCCAUCUGUACUUAACAGCUAGAGGUGAAAUUCUUUGACCUGUUAAAGACAAACAAAAGCGAAAGCAUUUGGCAAGAAUGUUUCCGUUAAUCAAGAACGAAAGUUGAGGGUCCGAAGGCGAUCAGAUACCGCCCUAGUCUUAACUAUAAACGAUGUCGACCAGCGAUCCGCCUGAGUUCCUCAAAUGACUCGGCGGGCAGCUUCCGGGAAACCACCAGU